RNAcentral lists this ribosomal RNA (237 nucleotides) under uncultured bacterium. RNAcentral's name for it is "partial 16S ribosomal RNA". It matches the Rfam family "Bacterial small subunit ribosomal RNA", at positions 99 to 334 of the family's 1533-position model. The record is from RNAcentral.
CGAACGGGUGAGUAACGCGUGGCCAACCUACCCCGGCGUGGGGGAUACCCGCCAGAAAUGGCGGCUAAUACCGCGUACGGUCCCGUCGUUGUGAGCGGUGGGAAGAAAGCAGUGAUGCGCGCUGGGAGGGGGCUGCGGCCGAUUAUGCUUGUUGGCGGGGUAAUGGCCCACCAAGGCGAUGAUCGGUAGCGGGUCUGAGAGGAUGAUCCGCCACACGGGGACUGAGAGACGGCCCCG